GAUGAACGCUGGCGGCGUGCCUAAUACAUGCAAGUCGAGCGAACAGACGAGGAGCUUGCUCCUCUGACGUUAGCGGCGGACGGGUGAGUAACACGUGGAUAACCUACCUAUAAGACUGGGAUAACUUCGGGAAACAGGAGCUAAUACCGGAUAAUAUAUUGAACCGCAUGGUUCAAUAGUGAAAGACGGUUUUGCUGUCACUUAUAGAUGGAUCCGCGCCGCAUUAGCUAGUUGGUAAGGUAACGGCUUACCAAGGCGACGAUGCGUAGCCGACCUGAGAGGGAGGUCGGCCACACGGGAUCAGAGACACGGUACAGACUCCUACGGGAGGCAGCAGUAGGGAAUCUUCCGGGAUGGGCGAAAGCCUGACGGAGCAACGCCGCGUGAGUGAUGAAGGUCUUCGGAUCGGAAAACUCUGUUAUUAGGGAAGAACAAAUGUGUAAGUAACUAUGCACGUCUUGACGGUACCUAAUCAGAAAGCCACGGCUAACUACGUG
This 497-nucleotide ribosomal RNA is filed under the name uncultured bacterium. RNAcentral's name for it is "partial 16S ribosomal RNA". It matches the Rfam family "Bacterial small subunit ribosomal RNA", at positions 28 to 507 of the family's 1533-position model. The record is from RNAcentral.